Molecule: small RNA, 76 nt
Filed under: Escherichia coli
Lineage: Bacteria; Pseudomonadati; Pseudomonadota; Gammaproteobacteria; Enterobacterales; Enterobacteriaceae
Description: partial RtT sRNA
Rfam family: RtT RNA
About the family: This family represents a bacterial cis-regulatory element known as RtT RNA. The exact function of RtT is unknown although it is thought that it may be involved in changing the cellular response in relation to amino acid starvation.
Source: RNAcentral
AUUCUGCCCAAGCGGGGAAGGAUGAGAAGCUUCGACCAAGGCUCGACUCGAGCGCCAGCGAGAGAGCGUUGCCGCA